RNAcentral lists this long non-coding RNA (244 nucleotides) under Lathyrus oleraceus (garden pea). RNAcentral's name for it is "Pisum sativum (pea) long non-coding RNA (PSAT_LNC021551)". The record is from RNAcentral. Lineage: Eukaryota; Viridiplantae; Streptophyta; Magnoliopsida; Fabales; Fabaceae.
GAAAAAAGAUCCAAAACUCCAUUAAAUUUAGCGAGUUCGCUACAUGCUCAACCCAGUAAACUCAGUUUCAUUUAAGAGUUUACUAAAAUUCGAGUCUACAGCCGAAUCAACUACCUAGACUUUUGGAAUCAUGCAAUUUCAUAAUCAACUAUUAUAUAUAACUCCACCGGGUUGAGCUAUGCGCAUUUUGGCACACAGAAAAUUUGAACUUUCUUGAUCAAUUUGUUACCACAGCCUCUUGUCA